This 73-nucleotide transfer RNA is filed under the name Danio rerio (zebrafish). RNAcentral describes it as "tRNA-Lys (CTT) (tRNA-Lys-CTT-151-1)". It matches the Rfam family "tRNA". From Rfam's summary of the family: Transfer RNA (tRNA) molecules are approximately 80 nucleotides in length. Their secondary structure includes four short double-helical elements and three loops (D, anti-codon, and T loops). The record is from Rfam by way of RNAcentral. Lineage: Eukaryota; Metazoa; Chordata; Actinopteri; Cypriniformes; Danionidae.
GCUCGGCUAGCUCAGUUGGUAGAGCAUGAGGCUCUUAAUCUCAGGGUCGUGGGUUCAAGCCCCACGUUGGGCG